AUGUUUAAAAAGAAAUAAAAGCUAGAAAUCAUGGAUCCCAUAAAUCAUUAGAGAUUCCGUCAGUGUGUACUCAUCUUUUUAGUUGAAGCUAUUUGGUUCUUCUUACAUGUGCACUCACCAGUGGUCAUUACUGGAGUCCUAUAUGUGCAUUGGGAAUGCAAAAGAAUUGGUCUUACCAGAUGUUUUGAGGCAAGUUAGCAGUGAGUUUAAAAUUGGAGGCACUAAUUGAAAGAAAACAUUCUGAGAGAUAUGGUGGAUAUAUAUCAGACCAAGACAUCAUAAAAUAGACUCUGUACAGAUGCAUGUUCGUAUACAUACAUGAAAUGAAACCCACAUGUGUUCAUUCAUGUGGAUGUAUUGAAGUUGACAAGGUUGAAUAAUAUACAACCCUUUCUGCAUGAAUAGAUGUUUUUAUAGUGAAAUUAUUCCUUGCGGUCUAAUUUGGAUGCUGGACUAGUGACUGCUGAGGUCUGGCUCCAUAUAAUGCGUGCUUCGGAUAUUGAAGCUAAAAGAUAACGUACUUUUUUCUGUACUAGUAAAUGCCAUUGCUGUAUUCUUCUUUGGUUUUUUCCCCUGUGAAGUUUGCUGAUGGAUUAUUCUUUGUGCUUAAUCUAUCCCUCACAUAUAUUUUUCUUUCGGGAGUGAUUCUUUACUCUGAAUUCAUGUUGUUAAGAACUCCACCUCCAUGCCUUCAUGAUCAA
This is a non-coding RNA of Prunus avium (sweet cherry), 701 nucleotides long. The record is from RefSeq and is a predicted model, not a curated record. NCBI's taxonomy places the organism in Eukaryota, Viridiplantae, Streptophyta, Magnoliopsida, Rosales, Rosaceae.